This 468-nucleotide ribosomal RNA is filed under the name uncultured bacterium. Its description in RNAcentral is "partial 16S ribosomal RNA". It matches the Rfam family "Bacterial small subunit ribosomal RNA", at positions 28 to 507 of the family's 1533-position model. The record is from RNAcentral.
GAUGAACGCUGGCGGCGUGCUUAACACAUGCAAGUCGAACGGAAAGGCCCUGCUUUUGUGGGGUGCUCGAGUGGCGAACGGGUGAGUAACACGUGAGUAACCUGCCCUUGUCUUUGGGAUAACUUCAGGAAACUGGGGCUCAUACCGGAUAGGAGCUCCUGCUGCAUGGUGGGGGUUGGAAAGAUUCGGCGGUUGGGGCUCGACUCGCGGCUUAUCCGCUUGUUGGUGGGGUAGGGGCGUACGAAGGCUUUGACGGGUAGCCGGCCUGGGAGGGUGGCCGGCCACAUUGGGACUGCGAUACGGCCCAGACGCCUACGGGAGGCAGCAGUGGGGAAUAUUGCACAAUGGGCGGAAGCCUGAGGCAGCGACGCCGCGUGCGGGAUGACGUCCUUCGGGUUGUAAACCUCUUUCGCCGUUGACGAAGCGUGAGUGACGGUAAUGGGUAAAGAAGCACCGGCUAACUACGUG